Molecule: unclassified non-coding RNA, 572 nt
Filed under: Hevea brasiliensis (rubber tree)
Lineage: Eukaryota; Viridiplantae; Streptophyta; Magnoliopsida; Malpighiales; Euphorbiaceae
Source: RNAcentral
AUAACAUACUGGAUACUUAAUUACAACAAAAGAAAUCCAAACCCAAAACCACAUAAGCACAAACCCAACACAGUAAACCUUAGGUCCAAUGACCCAGAAAGAAGAUUCAGAAUAGCAAAACUCAGCUAAAGCAAAGGCCAGCAGUGCUGCACACUAGUAACGACGAGACAAACGGCUCCAUUCACACCAAAAAUUGGGCAGCCAUUAAAAAACCAAUGGUAAGCAUAGACCAUGGGAGCCAAAGCCAUCGUAGGCCAAGACUAAUGCCCCAUCGAGGGUUGAUGCAGAGCUUUCUGGUAACUAAACCGAAGGUCAGCCGAAAGAGGACUUAGGCCGGCUAUAAACCCCAAAAGAUACCAUUAGCAAAAAUAGUAGAUCCCCACAGCGUAGAAGAGGUUAGUGAUUUUUCUACAAAAAGCACCACCUGUGAUCUUAGCCUAAGAGAAGAUUGGCACCUACAUGCAAGAAACCUAGUACAUAGAGAAACUAAAAAACUAAACAGAAAAGGCAGAUCUAAGGAAGAUUAGCGAUAGGAAAAACCACAAAAAGGAAGUAUGUACACCAAUCGAGUG